AGUCCCGUUGGGUAGUGGUCAAUCCUCUGAGGCUCUGGACCUCAGGACGGCGGUUCGAAUCCGCCCGGGACUA
The sequence is a transfer RNA, 73 nucleotides long. It matches the Rfam family "tRNA". From Rfam's summary of the family: Transfer RNA (tRNA) molecules are approximately 80 nucleotides in length. The record is from Rfam.